GACGAACGCUGGCGGCGUGCUUAACACAUGCAAGUCGAACGAUGAAGAAAAGCAUUGAAGCUUCGGCAGAAAUUCAUUUCGGAUUAGUGGCAGACGGGUGAGUAACGCGUGAGCAACCUACCUCUUACAAAGGGAUAGCCUCGGGAAACCGGGAUUAAUACCAUCUAACAUUGCGACGAAGCAUUUCGAUGCAAUCAAAGCUACGGCGGUAAGAGAUGGGCUCGCGUCCCAUUAACCAGAUGGUGAGGUAACGGCUCACCAUAGUCACGAUGGGUAACCGGCCGGGGAGGGGGAACGGUCACACUGGAACUGAGACACGGUCCAGACUCCUACGGGAGGGAGCAGUAGGGAAUAUUGCACAAUGGAGGGAACUCUGAUGCAGCGACGCCGCGUGAGUGAUGAAGGAAUUCGUUUCGUAAAACUCUGUGCGAUGGGAAGAAAAGGACGGUACCGUAGGAGAAAGCUCCGGCUAAAUACGUG
Molecule: ribosomal RNA, 480 nt
Filed under: uncultured bacterium
Lineage: Bacteria
Description: partial 16S ribosomal RNA
Rfam family: Bacterial small subunit ribosomal RNA
Source: RNAcentral